Molecule: ribosomal RNA, 496 nt
Filed under: uncultured bacterium
Lineage: Bacteria
Description: partial 16S ribosomal RNA
Rfam family: Bacterial small subunit ribosomal RNA
Source: RNAcentral
GAUGAACGCUGGCGGCGUGCCUAAUACAUGCAAGUCGAGCGAACAGAUGAGGAGCUUGCUCCUCUGACGUUAGCGGCGGACGGGUGAGUAACGCGUGGAUAACCUACCUAUAAGACUGGGAUAACUUCGGGAAACCGGAGCUAAUACCGGAUAAUAUAUUGAACCGCAUGGUUCAAUAGUGAAAGACGGUUUUGCUGUCACUUAUAGAUGGAUCCGCGCCGCAUUAGCUAGUUGGUAAGGUAACGGCUUACCAAGGCAACGAUGCGUAGCCGACCUGAGAGGGUGAUCGGCCACACUGGAACUGAGACACGGUCCAGACGCCUACGGGAGGCAGCAGUAGGGAAUCUUCCGCAAUGGGCGAAAGCCUGACGGAGCAACGCCGCGUGAGUGAUGAAGGUCUUCGGAUCGUAAAACUCUGUUAUUAGGGAAGAACAAAUGUGUAAGUAACUAUGCACGUCUUGACGGUACCUAAGCAGAAAGCCACGGCUAACUACGU